RNAcentral lists this transfer RNA (72 nucleotides) under Claviceps purpurea (ergot fungus). RNAcentral's name for it is "tRNA-Val". It matches the Rfam family "tRNA". Rfam says of the family: Transfer RNA (tRNA) molecules are approximately 80 nucleotides in length. Their secondary structure includes four short double-helical elements and three loops (D, anti-codon, and T loops). Further hydrogen bonds mediate the characteristic L-shaped molecular structure. tRNAs have two regions of fundamental functional importance: the anti-codon, which is responsible for specific mRNA codon recognition, and the 3' end, to which the tRNAs corresponding amino acid is attached (by aminoacyl-tRNA synthetases). tRNAs cope with the degeneracy of the genetic code in two manners: having more than one tRNA (with a specific anti-codon) for a particular amino acid; and 'wobble' base-pairing, i.e. permitting non-standard base-pairing at the 3rd anti-codon position. The record is from RNAcentral. Lineage: Eukaryota; Fungi; Ascomycota; Sordariomycetes; Hypocreales; Clavicipitaceae. RNAcentral also lists the same sequence under 13 other names.
GAGUAAUUAGUUCAAUGGUGGAACGUUUGCUUUACACGCAAAAUGUUAAUGGUUCGAAACCAUUAUUGCUCA